Molecule: ribosomal RNA, 253 nt
Filed under: uncultured bacterium
Lineage: Bacteria
Description: partial 16S ribosomal RNA
Rfam family: Bacterial small subunit ribosomal RNA
Source: RNAcentral
UACGGAGGGUGCAAGCGUUGUCCGGAUUUAUUGGGUUUAAAGGGUGCGUAGGCGGCCGUUUAAGUCCGGGGUGAAAGCCCACUGCUCAACAGUGGGACUGCCCUGGAAACUGGAGAACUUGAGUACAGACGAGGGCGGCGGAAUGGAUGGUGUAGCGGUGAAAUGCAUAGAUACCAUCCAGAACCCCGAUUGCGAAGGCAGCUGCCUAGACUGUAACUGACGCUGAGGCACGAAAGCGUGGGGAGCGAACAGG